Small nucleolar RNA from Mustela putorius furo (domestic ferret), 77 nucleotides. Lineage: Eukaryota; Metazoa; Chordata; Mammalia; Carnivora; Mustelidae. The record is from Ensembl.
CAUCAUUAUGAAAAUAGAUAAAUUUGUGCAUAAAAAACCUUCCAGUCUAUCUGAUGUGUAUCUCUGUAGUUCUGAGA